RNAcentral lists this microRNA precursor (68 nucleotides) under Bombyx mori (domestic silkworm). RNAcentral's name for it is "mir-2774 microRNA precursor family". It matches the Rfam family "mir-2774 microRNA precursor family". The record is from Rfam by way of RNAcentral. Lineage: Eukaryota; Metazoa; Arthropoda; Insecta; Lepidoptera; Bombycidae.
ACAACAUUCGGACCGUCGAUCUACCGAGCAAUAUCACCACCUCAGUGGAAGAUCUUUCCUUUCGUCGU